Molecule: ribosomal RNA, 2156 nt
Filed under: human gut metagenome
Description: bacterial LSU rRNA
Rfam family: Bacterial large subunit ribosomal RNA
Source: RNAcentral
CCCAGCCGAUGGAUUUGAUUGUAAGAACUAGAACAGCGUGGGAAAGCUGACCGAAGAUGGUGAUAGUCCAGUAUAGGUAGAAAGCAAUUAAGUUCUUGAGUAGGGCGGAGCACGAGAAAUUCUGUCUGAAAAUGGGGAGACCACUCUCCAAGGCUAAGUACUACUGAGUGACCGAUAGUGAACAAGUACCGUGAGGGAAAGGUGAAAAGCACCCCUAUAAGGGGAGUGAAAAAGAACCUGAAACCGGAUGCCUACAAGCAGUCGGAGGAGCAUUAGGCUCUGACGGCGUACCUUUUGUAUAAUGGGUCAGCGACUUAAUUUAUGUAGCAAGCUUAAGCCGAUAGGUGUAGGCGCAGCGAAAGCGAGUGUUAAUAGCGCGUUAAGUUACAUGGAUUAGACCCGAAACCGAGUGAUCUAGCCAUGAUCAGGUUGAAGGUUGGGUAACACCAACUGGAGGACCGAACCCACUCCCGUUGAAAAGGUAGGGGAUGAAUUGUGGCUAGGGGUGAAAGGCCAAUCAAACUCGGAAAUAGCUGGUUCUCCGCGAAAACUAUUUAGGUAGUGCGGCAAGCGGACACGUUGAGGGGUAGAGCACUGAAAGAGCUAAGGGGGAGCGAUCCUUACUAAACUUUAUCAAACUCCGAAUACUCAACAGUGAUACUUGCCAGACAGACUGUAGGUGCUAAGGUCUACGGUCGAGAGGGAAAGAGCCCAGACCGCCAAUUAAGGUCCCAAAAUUAUGGCUAAGUGGUAAAGGAAGUGAAUUGUCCAAAACAGUCAGGAGGUUGGCUUAGAAGCAGCCAUCCUUUAAAGAAAGCGUAAUAGCUCACUGAUCUAAACAAGACGAUUUGCGCCGAAGAUGUAACGGGGCUAAAGCCAUAUACCGAAGUUGCGGAAUUGCACGUAAGUGCAAUUGGUAGCGGAGCGUUCUGUAAGCCUGCGAAGGUGUUCCGUAAGGAAUGCUGGAGGUAUCAGAAGUGAGAAUGCUGACAUGAGUAGCGAAAAGAAGUGUGAGAGACACUUCCGCUGAAAGUCCAAGGUUUCCUGCGUAAAGCUAAUCUGCGCAGGGUUAGUCGGCCCCUAAGGCGAGGCAGAGAUGCGUAGUCGAUGGGAAUCAGGUUAAUAUUCCUGAACCAACUAGGAAGUGACGGAUUCAGUAAAUUGUAUGUCCUUAUUGGAUUGGAUGUGCAGUGAAUGAGUCCCGGGAAAUAGCCCUAGUAUAGACCGUACCCGAAACCGACACAGGUGGACAGGUAGAGAAUACCAAAGCGCUUGAGAGAACUAUGUUGAAGGAACUAGGCAAAAUACUUGCGUAACUUCGGGAUAAGCAAGCCCCAUUUCUGGGCAACCAGAGGUGGGGGGCACAUACUAGGGGGUAGCGACUGUUUACUAAAAACACAGGGCUCUGCUAAAUUGAAAGAUGAAGUAUAGGGUCUGACGCCUGCCCGGUGCUGGAAGGUUAAGGAGAGAUGUGCAAGCAUUGAACUGAAGCCCCAGUGAACGGCGGCCGUAACUAUAACGGUCCUAAGGUAGCGAAAUUCCUUGUCGGGUAAGUUCCGACCUGCACGAAUGGCGUAACGACUUCCCCGCUGUCUCCAACAUAGACUCAGCGAAAUUGAAUUCUGAGUUAAGAUGCUCAGUACCCGCGGUUAGACGGAAAGACCCCGUGAACCUUUACUAUAGCUUUGCAGUGGUAUUAGGUGACAAAUGUGUAGGAUAGGUGGGAUGCUAUGAAGUUAUGACGCUAGUUGUAAUGGAGCAGACGUUGAAAUACCACCCUUUUGUUAUUUGAUAUCUAACCUGCUUCCGUUAUCCGGAAGAGGGACCCUGCAUGGUGGGUAGUUUGACUGGGGCGGUCGCCUCCCAAAGAGUAACGGAGGCGCGCAAAGGUUGGCUCAGAUUGGUCGGAAAUCAAUCGUUGAGUGCAAUGGCAUAAGCCAGCCUGACUGCGAGAGCGACAGUUCGAGCAGAGACGAAAGUCGGUCAUAGUGAUCCGGUGGUCCCGAGUGGAAGGGCCAUCGCUCAACGGAUAAAAGGUACUCCGGGGAUAACAGGCUGAUUCCGCCCAAGAGUUCACAUCGACGGCGGAGUUUGGCACCUCGAUGUCGGCUCAUCACAUCCUGGGGCUGGAGAAGGUCCCAAGGGUUCGGCUGUUC